CCUACGGGCGGCAGCAGUGAGGAAUAUUGGUCAAUGGACGAGAGUCUGAACCAGCCAAGUAGCGUGAAGGAUGACUGCCCUAUGGGUUGUAAACUUCUUUUAUAUGGGAAUAAAACGUUCCACGUGUGGGAUUUUGUAUGUACCAUAUGAAUAAGGAUCGGCUAACUCCGUGCCAGCAGCCGCGGUAAUACGGAGGAUCCGAGCAUUAUCCGGAUUUAUUGGGUUUAAAGGGAGCGUAGGUGGAUUGUUAAGUCAGUUGUGAAAGUUUGCGGCUCAACCGUAAAAUUGCAGUUGAAACUGGCAGUCUUGAGUACAGUAGAGGUGGGCGGAAUUCGUGGUGUAGCGGUGAAAUGCUUAGAUAUCACGAAGAACUCCGAUUGCGAAGGCAGUUCACUGGACUGCAACUGACACUGAGGCUCGAAAGUGUGGGUAUCAAACAGGAUUAGAUACCCCUGUAGUC
RNAcentral lists this ribosomal RNA (460 nucleotides) under uncultured bacterium. RNAcentral describes it as "partial 16S ribosomal RNA". It matches the Rfam family "Bacterial small subunit ribosomal RNA", at positions 338 to 795 of the family's 1533-position model. The record is from RNAcentral.